Molecule: unclassified non-coding RNA, 1320 nt
Filed under: uncultured fungus
Lineage: Eukaryota; Fungi
Description: sequence contains 18S rRNA gene, ITS1, 5.8S rRNA gene, ITS2, 28S rRNA gene
Rfam family: Eukaryotic large subunit ribosomal RNA (bases 441-1320)
Source: RNAcentral
GGAUGGAUCAUUCUUGGUUUUUAACUACCAACCUAACGAACUCACUGUUCUAACUUUGUUACAACAGUUAACGAUCAAAUCCAAACUAAAAACUCUUAGCGAUGGAUGACUCGACUCUCGUAACGAGGAAGGACGCAGCAAACCGCGAUAAGCAGUAUGACUUGCGAACUCUCGUGAAUCACCAGAUUUCUGAACGCAAUUGUACUCUUGGCUCUGGCCUCGAGUACGCUUGGUUCGGUAUCAUUUAGACUUCCAAAGGAAUCAAGCACUGGGCACUUGCCUUUGUGAGAUGCUUCCUCUGGGCCUGGAGUCCUCACUCUCUCUCUUCAUGGGAGUGUGGACUGUCGAGAUGAAUCUUUCAGAUUGAGUUAGGUUGCCAUUUAGUAGAACUUCGAACAAGGCGACCUCUCUUUCCCAUGAAAGAUGCUGUUUUUCCUUUUUGAUCCGAACUCAAGCGAGGCUACCCGCUGAAUUUAAGCAUAUUAUUAAGCGGAGGAAAAGAAACCAACAGGGAUUCCCCCAGUAGCGGCGAGCGAAGUGGGAUCAGCCCGAGAUGUUAAUCCUCAUUUCGGUGAGGAGUUGUACAUCUAACCAUGACCAGGAAGAUCGCUGUACUAAGUCGCCUGGAAAGGCGCGCCACAGAGGGUGACAGUCCCGUCUUUGUGCAGAGAUGCUUCCGUUCGGUCACGGUUGCUUGAGUCACGCUCUUUGGGAGUAGAGCGCAAAUUGGGUGGUAACCUCCAUCCAUGGCUAAAUAUUAACGAGAGAUCGAUAGCAAACAAGUACCGUGAGGGAAAGUUGAAAAGUACUUCGAAAGGAGAGUUAAAAUACCUGAAAUCGCUAAGGGGGAAGCGACUGUCCGUGACCCAUGUCCUGAGGCUGAGUAAGUCUCUGGAUUACUUGACAUCACUUCAACGGUCCUUGAUUUCGCCUUGCUUUGCUUUUGUAAAGCUCGGUGUCUUUCCUGGACGUCUGGAGUGACGCCUUCUGGCUUGCCAUAGGUUGUCAAGAGAGGCACGUACAGGCGACCCGUCUUGAAACACGGACCAAGGAGUUCAACAAUUGUGCAAGUGUAAGAGUGUGAAACUCCUACGCGCAGUGAAAGCAAUAGCUGUGAGUACAAACGAAACAGCGGCCGACCACGAAGUUCGAGCUUGAGCAUAAUUGUUUAGACCCGAAAGAUGGUGACCUAUACCUGAGUUGGGUGAAGCCAGGGGAAACUCUGGUGGAAGCUCGUAGCGAUACUGACGUGCAAAUCGUUCGUCAAACUUGGGCAUAGGGGCGAAAGACUAAUCGAACCAUCUAGUAGCUGGUUCCCUC